GCCGAGGUGGCGGAAUGGCAGACGCCGCGGACUUAAAAUCUGCUGUCCAUAAAGGGCGUGUGGGUUCGAGUCCCACCCUCGGCACCA
Molecule: transfer RNA, 87 nt
Filed under: Chloroflexota bacterium
Lineage: Bacteria; Bacillati; Chloroflexota
Description: Chloroflexi bacterium tRNA-Leu
Rfam family: tRNA
About the family: Transfer RNA (tRNA) molecules are approximately 80 nucleotides in length.
Source: RNAcentral